GCAGUCGAACGGCAGCAUGAUCUAGCUUGCUAGAUUGAUGGCGAGUGGCGAACGGGUGAGUAAUACAUCGGAACGUGCCCUGUAGUGGGGGAUAACUAGUCGAAAGAUUAGCUAAUACCGCAUACGACCUGAGGGUGAAAGUGGGGGACCGCAAGGCCUCAUGCUAUAGGAGCGGCCGAUGUCUGAUUAGCUAGUUGGUGAGGUAAAGGCUCACCAAGGCGACGAUCAGUAGCUGGUCUGAGAGGACGAUCAGCCACACUGGGACUGAGACACGGCCCAGACUCCUACGGGAGGCAGCAGUGGGGAAUUUUGGACAAUGGGGGCAACCCUGAUCCAGCAAUGCCGCGUGUGUGAAGAAGGCCUUCGGGUUGUAAAGCACUUUUGUCCGGAAAGAAAUCGCACUUACUAAUAUUAGGUGUGGAUGACGGUACCGGAAGAAUAAGGACCGGCUAACUACGUGCCAGCAGCCGCGGUAAUACGUAGGGUCCAAGCGUUAAUCGGAAUUACUGGGCGUAAAGCGUGCGCAGGCGGUUGUGCAAGACCGAUGUGAAAUCCCCGGGCUUAACCUGGGAAUUGCAUUGGUGACUGCACGGCUAGAGUGUGUCAGAGGGGGGUAGAAUUCCACGUGUAGCAGUGAAAUGCGUAGAGAUGUGGAGGAAUACCGAUGGCGAAGGCAGCCCCCUGGGAUAACACUGACGCUCAUGCACGAAAGCGUGGGGAGCAAACAGGAUUAGAUACCCUGGUAGUCCACGCCCUANACGAUGUCAACUAGUUGUUGGGGAUUCAUUUCCUUAGUAACGUAGCUAACGCGUGAAGUUGACCGCCUGGGGAGUACGGUCGCAAGAUUAAAACUCAAAGGAAUUGACGGGGACCCGCACAAGCGGUGGAUGAUGUGGAUUAAUUCGAUGCAACGCGAAAAACCUUACCUACCCUUGACAUGCCACUAACGAAGCAGAGAUGCAUUAGGUGCUCGAAAGAGAAAGUGGACACAGGUGCUGCAUGGCUGUCGUCAGCUCGUGUCGUGAGAUGUUGGGUUAAGUCCCGCAACGAGCGCAACCCUUGUCUCUAGUUGCUACGAAAGGGCACUCUAGAGAGACUGCCGGUGACAAACCGGAGGAAGGUGGGGAUGACGUCAAGUCCUCAUGGCCCUUAUGGGUAGGGCUUCACACGUCAUACAAUGGUGCAUACAGAGGGUUGCCAAGCCGCGAGGUGGAGCUAAUCCCAGAAAAUGCAUCGUAGUCCGGAUCGUAGUCUGCAACUCGACUACGGAAGCUGGAAUCG
RNAcentral lists this ribosomal RNA (1281 nucleotides) under uncultured Ralstonia sp. Its description in RNAcentral is "bacterial SSU rRNA". It matches the Rfam family "Bacterial small subunit ribosomal RNA", at positions 57 to 1334 of the family's 1533-position model. Lineage: Bacteria; Pseudomonadati; Pseudomonadota; Betaproteobacteria; Burkholderiales; Burkholderiaceae. The record is from RNAcentral.